GGAUGCAAAAGUCGUAACACGGUUUCCGUAGGUGAACCUGCGGAAGGAUCAUUCACACAUUACCUCCCGAAGCUGCUUCAGCUUGGAUUUUCGCUCAGAAUAACUCUUUUGGAGUUUUCUGCAUGCGGGACUGUGUGGGGCUGGGGCUGCAGCCGACAGGGGAGAAAAGAUCAGUUUGAGCAAACCUUCGAAUCAAUUAACGCUUUCCAACAAAGUCUUUUUGAAAAUUGAAGCAUGAAAAUUAAAUUUGAAAUUGGAUUUGAUGGAUCUGAAGCGCGCUGGAAGGAGCGGAAGGAGGCGUGCAUGCGGGGAUGGGGCUGCAUGCACGCAUGCGUGCAUGCAUGCAUGAGGGUGGGACUGCGCCCCUGCACGCAUGCACACAUGCGUGCAUGUAUGUGUGUUACCACACGGGAAGGGUGUGGUUGUUUCCUGUGUCCCAUUUUGCCGUAGUUUUGCACAAAUCCGACGUACGGAAGACCAUCUGUUUUUGAGAUUAAAAAAACUUUCAGCAAUGGAUGUCUUGGCUCACGCAUCGAUGAAGGACGCAGCUAAAUGCGAUACGCAUUGUGAAUUGCAGAUUUUAGUGAAUCAUCAGAUUUCUGAACGCAUAUGGCGCUGUUGGUAUUCCCCGGCAGCACGUCUGUUUCAGUGUCUCUUGAUCUUUUCAAGAAAUACACUACCACAGCAUGAUAUGUGCUUGGAGUAGGUUGCCAUGUAUAUAUAUAUAUAUGCGUAUGCUUACUUUGACAUUAAUGGUGUGGUGGUUUCUUUUGCUCGUCGCGAGGGAUAUUUUCCGAUGCGUCGUGUGAAGUUUAUUGGAGAUAUCUUCUUGGUGUGUAGUCGAUAUUCCUUAUCCUCUCGUCCACGAAAGAGAUAUGGUGACUCAGCGAGUGCUACUGGUGGAUAUCUCGGUUAUAUUGGACAGCCCAAUGAAUGGGAUAAAUGGGGCUAUGCGCCUGGUGGUGCGGACUAUGUCGCACCCUGGGAGUAUCGAUGGAUUGCACCUUGAUGUCUCCACAUGUAGUUAAAAUACAUAUAUUUCAUUUUAGACCUGAAAUCAGUCGAGAUUACCCGCUGAAUUUAAGCAUAUUAUUAAGCGGAGGA
Molecule: small RNA, 1104 nt
Filed under: uncultured Eimeria
Lineage: Eukaryota; Apicomplexa; Conoidasida; Eucoccidiorida; Eimeriidae
Description: eukaryotic LSU rRNA
Rfam family: 5.8S ribosomal RNA (bases 501-654)
Source: RNAcentral